This 459-nucleotide ribosomal RNA is filed under the name uncultured bacterium. RNAcentral describes it as "partial 16S ribosomal RNA". It matches the Rfam family "Bacterial small subunit ribosomal RNA", at positions 338 to 795 of the family's 1533-position model. The record is from RNAcentral.
CCUAGGGAGGCAGCAGUGAGGAAUAUUGGUCAAUGGGCGGAAGCCUGAACCAGCCAAGUCGUGUGAGGGAGUAAGGCCCUACGGGUCGUAAACCUCUUUUGCUGGGGAGCAGAGCUCAGCCCGUGAGCUGGGAGGGAGCGUACCCGGAGAAAAAGCAUCGGCUAACUCCGUGCCAGCAGCCGCGGUAAUACGGAGGAUGCGAGCGUUAUCCGGAUUUAUUGGGUUUAAAGGGUGCGUAGGCGGGCCUUCAGGCCGGCGGUAAAAUUGCGGGGCUCAACCCCGCCGCGCCGUCGGAACCGGGGGCCUUGAGUACCGGGAAAGUACGCGGAAUGCGUGGUGUAGCGGUGAAAUGCAUAGAUAUCACGAAGAACCCCGAUUGCGAAGGCAGCGUACCGGCCGGUCACUGACGCUGAGGCACGAAGGCGCGGGUAUCGAACAGGAUUAGAUACCCGAGUAGUC